This 253-nucleotide ribosomal RNA is filed under the name uncultured bacterium. Its description in RNAcentral is "partial 16S ribosomal RNA". It matches the Rfam family "Bacterial small subunit ribosomal RNA", at positions 524 to 776 of the family's 1533-position model. The record is from RNAcentral.
UACAUGGGGUGCAAACGUUGCUCGGAAUUAUUGGGCGUAAAGCGCACGUAGGCGGUUCGUUAAGUCGGAUGUGAAAGCCCUCGGCUCAACUGAGGAAGUGCACCCGAAACUGGCGAGCUUGAGUACGAAAGAGGGUCGCGGAAUUCCCGGUGUAGAGGUGAAAUGCGUAGAUAUCUGGAGGAACACCGGUGGCGAAGGCGGCAUCCUGGACCGACACUGACGCUGAGGAGCGAAAGCCAGGGGAGCAAACGGG